This 1243-nucleotide ribosomal RNA is filed under the name metagenome. RNAcentral's name for it is "bacterial LSU rRNA". It matches the Rfam family "Bacterial large subunit ribosomal RNA", at positions 1627 to 2858 of the family's 2925-position model. The record is from RNAcentral.
CCAGUUGAAUGAAGACCGUACCGUAAACCGACACAGGUGGGUAGGAUGAGAAUUCUAAGGCGCUUGAGAGAACUCAGGUGAAGGAACUCGGCAAAAUAGCACCGUAACUUCGGGAAAAGGUGUGCCCUUUGUAUGUGUAGCGCCUCGCGCGUGAAGCAGAAUAGGGUUGCAAUGAAAUGGUGGCUGCGACUGUUUAAUAAAAACAUAGCACUCUGCAAACACGAAAGUGGACGUAUAGAGUGUGACGCCUGCCCGGUGCCGGAAGGUUAAAUGAUGGGGUGCAAGCUCUUGAUUGAAGCCCCGGUAAACGGCGGCCGUAACAAUAACGGUCCUAAGGUAGCGAAAUUCCUUGUCGGGUAAGUUCCGACCUGCACGAAUGGCGUAACGAUGGCCACACUGUCUCCUCCUGGGACUCAGCGAAGUUGAAAUGUUUGUGAAGAUGCAAUCUCCCCGCGGCUAGACGGAAAGACCCCGUGCACCUUUACUGUAGCUUUACAUUGGACUUUGAUAACAUUUGUGUAGGAUAGGUGGGUGGCUUUGAAGUGGAUUCGCCAGAAUUCAUGGAGCCAACGUUGAAAUACCACCCUGAUGUUGUUGAGGUUCUAACCUAGAUCCAUUAUCUGGAUUGGGGACCGUGUAUGGUAGGCAGUUUGACUGGGGCGGUCUCCUCCCAAAUUGUAACGGAGGAGUACGAAGGUACGCUAGGUACGGUCGGAAAUCGUGCUGAUAGUGCAAUGGCAAAAGCGUGCUUAACUGCGAGACUGACAAGUCGAGCAGAUGCGAAAGCAGGUCAUAGUGAUCCGGUGGUUCUGAAUGGAAGGGCCAUCGCUCAACGGAUAAAAGGUACGCCGGGGAUAACAGGCUGAUUCCUCCCAAGAGUUCAUAUCGACGGGGGAGUUUGGCACCUCGAUGUCGGCUCAUCACAUCCUGGGGCUGUAGCCGGUCCCAAGGGUAUGGCUGUUCGCCAUUUAAAGUGGUACGUGAGCUGGGUUUAAAACGUCGUGAGACAGUUUGGUCCCUAUCUGCCGUGGGCGUUGGAAGUUUGAGUGGACCUGCUCCUAGUACGGGAGGACCGGAGUGGACGCACCUCUGGUGUACCGGUUAUGACGCCAGUCGUAUCGCCGGGUAGCUAUGUGCGGAAGAGAUAACCGCUGAAAGCAUCUAAGCGGGAAACUCUCCUCAAGAUGAGACUUCCCGAGGGUUUAACCCUCCUAAAGGUUCGUCGAAGACUACGACGUUGAUA